Molecule: long non-coding RNA, 385 nt
Organism: Silurus meridionalis
Lineage: Eukaryota; Metazoa; Chordata; Actinopteri; Siluriformes; Siluridae
Exons: 3
Source: RefSeq, a predicted model, not a curated record
AAAAAAAGUGCGGCUGGCCUAACCGCAGUCCGAUGCUAAUGAGCAUCUAUGCUAGCGGCUAACCCGGCUAUAUAACAGGGACAGUGGAGUACACACGUACAGUGCUCAGGUUGGCCGUGUCGGGACGGGGGGCGGCAAGAUGGCGCCGUGAAAAGUCGUGGUCUUGUGAGCUGAGAAACAAUUCGGGGCCAUCGCGAUCUGGACGAACCACUCCACCACCUGUCUCUCUGGCAGAAGCUCGCCGUUCUGCUGCCUGAGUUGGCUGUAGAGGUCUCCUCCCUCACAGAAGCCCAUGACGAUGAAAAGUUGCCCAUUCCCUUUCCACGACUCCAGGUAGGUGACAAUGUUGGGAUGUCUCAGUUGGGACAGCAGCUAAGCUUCCUGU